This 1466-nucleotide ribosomal RNA is filed under the name uncultured Pelagibacterales bacterium. Its description in RNAcentral is "bacterial SSU rRNA". It matches the Rfam family "Bacterial small subunit ribosomal RNA". The record is from RNAcentral. Lineage: Bacteria; Pseudomonadati; Pseudomonadota; Alphaproteobacteria; Candidatus Pelagibacterales.
AGAAAAAGAUCCUGGCUCAGAACGUACGCUGGCGGCACGCUUAACACAUGCAAGUCGAACGAAGUAGCAAUACUUAGUGGCAGACGGGUGAGUAUAAUGUGGGAAUCUGCCUUUUGGUUUAAAAUAACUCGGGGAAACUUGAGCUAAUACUGGAUAAGCCCUUACGGGGAAAGCUUUAUGCGCCAAAAGAUGAGCCCGCACUUGAUUAGCUUGUUGGUGAGGUAAAAGCUCACCAAGGCAACGAUCAAUAGCUGUUCUUAGAGGAAGAUCAGCCACAUUGGGACUGAGACACGGCCCAGACUCCUACGGGAGGCAGCAGUGGGGAAUCUUGCACAAUGGGGGAAACCCUGAUGCAGCGAUGCCGCGUGAGUGAAGAAGGCCCUUGGGUUGUAAAACUCUUUCGUCGGGGAAGAAAAUGACUGUACCCGAAUAAGAAGGUCCGGCUAACUUCGUGCCAGCAGCCGCUGUAAUACGAAGGGACCUAGCGUAGUUCGGAAUUACUGGGCUUAAAGAGCUCGUAGGUGGUUAAAGAAGUUGGUGGUGAAAUCCCAAGGCUUAACCUUGGAACUGCCAUCAAAACUUUUUAGCUAGAGUAUGAUAGGGGAAAGUGGAAAUUUCUAGUGGUAGAGGUGAAAAUUCGUAGAUAUUAGGAAAGAACCACCAAAAGCGAAGGGCAACCUUUUCUGGAUCAUUACUGACACUGAGGGAGCGAAAAGCAUGGGUAGCGAAGAGGGAUUAGAUACCCCUCGGUAGUCCAUGCUGUAAAACGAUGUGUGCUAGGACGUUUGGAAAAUUUAAUUUUUCAGUGUCGCAGCAAAAAGCAUUAAGCACACCGCCUGGGGGAGUACGACCGCAAGGUUAAAAACUCAAAUGAAUUGACGGGGGACCCCGCACAAAGCAAGUGGAGCAUGUGGUUUAAUUUCGAAGAUACGCGCAGAACCUUUACCAACUCUUGACAUGUUUCGUCGCGACUCGUAGAGAUAUGAGUCUUCGGUUCGGCCGGACGAAACACAGGUGUUGCAUGGCUGUCGUCAGCUCGUGUCGUGAGAUGUUGGGUUAAGUCCCGCAACGAGCGCAACCCCUACGGUUUAGUUACUAACAUUUAGUUGAGUACUCUAAACGAACUGCCAGUGAUAAGCUGGAGGAAGGUGGGGAUGACGUCAAGUCCUCAUGGCCCUUACGAGUUGGGCUACACACGUGCUACAAUGGUACUUACAAUAAGACGCAAAGAGGCAACUCUAAGCCAAUCUUAAAAAUGUAUCUCAGUUCGGAUUGCACUCUGCAACUCGAGUGCAUGAAGCUGGAAUUGCUAGUAAUCGCGGAUCAGCGCGCCGCGGUGAAUACGUUCCCGGGUCUUGUACACACCGCCCGUCACACCAUGGAAGUUGGUUACACCUUAAGGCAAAGCGUAAAACCUUUGACUACGGUACGAUCAGCGACUGGGGUGAUGUCGUAACGGGGUAACC